RNAcentral lists this ribosomal RNA (426 nucleotides) under uncultured bacterium. RNAcentral describes it as "bacterial SSU rRNA". It matches the Rfam family "Bacterial small subunit ribosomal RNA", at positions 28 to 460 of the family's 1533-position model. The record is from RNAcentral.
GACGAACGCUGGCGGCGUGCUUAACACAUGCAAGUCGAACGGUAAGGCCCUUCGGGGUACACGAGUGGCGAACGGGUGAGUAACACGUGGGUGAUCUGCCCUGCACUUCGGGAUAAGCCUGGGAAACUGGGUCUAAUACCGGAUAGGACCAUGGACUUCACGGUUUGUGGUGGAAAGCUUUUGCGGUGUGGGAUGGGCCCGCGGCCUAUCAGCUUGUUGGUGGGGUAAUGGCCUACCAAGGCGACGACGGGUAGCCGGCCUGAGAGGGUGUCCGGCCACACUGGGACUGAGAUACGGCCCAGACUCCUACGGGAGGCAGCAGUGGGGAAUAUUGCACAAUGGGCGCAAGCCUGAUGCAGCGACGCCGCGUGAGGGAUGACGGCCUUCGGGUUGUAACCUACUUCAAUAGGACGAAGCGCAAGUGAC